UACGUAGGGGGCAAGCGUUGUCCGGAAUUAUUGGGCGUAAAGCGCGCGCAGGCGGUCGAUUAAGUCUGGUGUAUAAACCAAGGGCUCAACCUUUGGACGCAUUGGAAACUGGUCGGCUGGAGUGUAGGAGAGGAAAGUGGAAUUCCACGUGUAGCGGUGAAAUGCGUAGAGAUGUGGAGGAACACCAGAGGCGAAGGCGGCUUUCUGGCCUAUAACUGACGCUGAGGCGCGAAAGCGUGGGGAGCGAACAGG
Molecule: ribosomal RNA, 252 nt
Filed under: uncultured bacterium
Lineage: Bacteria
Description: partial 16S ribosomal RNA
Rfam family: Bacterial small subunit ribosomal RNA
Source: RNAcentral